UUCCUGGUGGUCCAAUGGUUAAGACACUGCGCUUCCACUGCAGGGGGCAUGGGUUCGAUCCCUGGUCAGGGAA
Molecule: transfer RNA, 73 nt
Organism: Ovis aries (sheep)
Lineage: Eukaryota; Metazoa; Chordata; Mammalia; Artiodactyla; Bovidae
Rfam family: tRNA
About the family: Transfer RNA (tRNA) molecules are approximately 80 nucleotides in length. Their secondary structure includes four short double-helical elements and three loops (D, anti-codon, and T loops). Further hydrogen bonds mediate the characteristic L-shaped molecular structure. tRNAs have two regions of fundamental functional importance: the anti-codon, which is responsible for specific mRNA codon recognition, and the 3' end, to which the tRNAs corresponding amino acid is attached (by aminoacyl-tRNA synthetases). tRNAs cope with the degeneracy of the genetic code in two manners: having more than one tRNA (with a specific anti-codon) for a particular amino acid; and 'wobble' base-pairing, i.e. permitting non-standard base-pairing at the 3rd anti-codon position.
Source: Rfam